AAAAUACUCCCUCGUCCGAAAAUACUUGUAGGAGAAAUGGAUAAAAAUGGAUGUAUCAAGAACUAAAAUACGUCUAGACACAUUCAUUUCUCUGAAAAGUAUUUCCGGGCGGAGGGAGUAAUAG
Non-coding RNA from Triticum urartu, 124 nucleotides. The record is from Rfam. Lineage: Eukaryota; Viridiplantae; Streptophyta; Magnoliopsida; Poales; Poaceae.